AUAACGGUCCUAAGGUAGCGAAAUUCCUUGUCAGGUAAGUUCUGACCCGCACGAAAGGCGUAAUGAUUUGGGCACUGUCUCAACAGCCCGCCCGGCGAAAUUGUAGUACCGGUGAAGAUGCCGGUUACCCGCAACUAGACGGAAAGACCCCAUGGAGCUUUACUGCAGCUUAAUACUGAGAUUCGGUAAAUCAUGUACAGGAUAGGUGGGAGACUUGGAAACAUGGCCGUCAGGUCGUGCGGAGUCAUCCUUGGGAUACCACCCUUGGUUUGCUGGGUUUCUAACCUGCGGCCCUGAAUCGGGUCGGGGGACACUGUUAGGCGGGCAGUUUGACUGGGGCGGUCGCCUCCUAAAGAGUAGCGGAGGCGCUCAAAGGUUGGCUCAGCAUGGAUGGAAACCAUGCAAUGAGUGUAAACGUAUAAGCCAGCCUAACUGCGAGACCGACGGGUCGAGCAGUAACGAAAGUUGGAGUUAGUGAUCCGGUGGUAUGUGAGUGGAAAUGCCAUCGCUCAACGGAUAAAAGCUACCCUGGGGAUAACAGGCUGAUCUCCCCCAAGCGUCCACAGCGACGGGGAGGUUUGGCACCUCGAUGUCGGCUCGUCACAUCCUGGGGCUGUAUUCGGUCCCAAGGGUUCGGCUGUUCGCCGAUUAAAGUGGCACGCGAGCUGGGUUCAGAACGUCGUGAGACAGUUCGGUCCCUAUCUGUUGCGGGCGUCGGAGAUUUGAAGGGAGCUGUCCUUAGUACGAGAGGACCGGGAUGGACAUACCUCUGGUGCACCAGUUGUUCUGCCAAGGGCACAGCUGGGUAGCUACGUAUGGACGAGAUAAACGCUGAAGGCAUCUAAGCGUGAAACUCCCCCUAAGAUGAGAUCUCCCCUCCCUCGAGGAGUAAGGCUCGACGUAGACUAUGUCGUUGAUAGGUCAGGGGUGUAAGUGCUGUAAGGCAUGCAGCUGACUGAUACUAAUAAGCCGAAAGCUUGACCU
This 984-nucleotide ribosomal RNA is filed under the name human gut metagenome. RNAcentral describes it as "bacterial LSU rRNA". It matches the Rfam family "Bacterial large subunit ribosomal RNA", at positions 1942 to 2925 of the family's 2925-position model. The record is from RNAcentral.